Molecule: ribosomal RNA, 891 nt
Filed under: uncultured bacterium
Lineage: Bacteria
Description: bacterial SSU rRNA
Rfam family: Bacterial small subunit ribosomal RNA
Source: RNAcentral
AGAGUUUGAUCCUGGCUCAGAUUGAACGCUGGCGGAAUGCUUUACACAUGCAAGUCGAGCGGCAGCGCGGGGCAACCUGGCGGCGAGCGGCGAACGGGUGAGUAAUACAUCGGAACGUGCCCAGACGUGGGGGAUAACUACUCGAAAGAGUGGCUAAUACCGCAUACGAUCUGAGGAUGAAAGCGGGGGAUCGCAAGACCUCGCGCGUCUGGAGCGGCCGAUGGCAGAUUAGGUAGUUGGUGAGGUAAAGGCUUACCAAGCCUGCGAUCUGUAGCUGGUCUGAGAGGAUGAUCAGCCACACUGGGACUGAGACACGGCCCAGACUCCUACGGGAGGCAGCAGUGGGGAAUUUUGGACAAUGGGCGAAAGCCUGAUCCAGCCAUUCCGCGUGCAGGAUGAAGGCCCUCGGGUUGUAAACUGCUUUUGUACGGAACGAAAAAGCUCCGGCUAAUACCUGGAGUCCAUGACGGUACCGUAAGAAUAAGCACCGGCUAACUACGUGCCAGCAGCCGCGGUAAUACGUAGGGUGCAAGCGUUAAUCGGAAUUACUGGGCGUAAAGCGUGCGCAGGCGGUUUUGUAAGACAGAGGUGAAAUCCCCGGGCUCAACCUGGGAACUGCCUUUGUGACUGCAAGGCUGGAGUGCGGCAGAGGGGGAUGGAAUUCCGCGUGUAGCAGUGAAAUGCGUAGAUAUGCGGAGGAACACCGACGGCGAAGGCAAUCCCCUGGGCCUGCACUGACGCUCAUGCACGAAAGCGUGGGUAGCAAACAGGAUUAGAUACCCUGGUAGUCCACGCCCUAAACGAUGCCAACUGGUUGUUGGGGGAGUGAAAUCCCUUAGUAACGAAGCUAACGCGUGAAGUUGACCGCCUGGGGAGUACGGUCGCAAGGUU